UGCCCCUUGACAUUCUGGUGUGAUUG
This 26-nucleotide non-coding RNA is filed under the name Homo sapiens (human). The record is from RNAcentral. Lineage: Eukaryota; Metazoa; Chordata; Mammalia; Primates; Hominidae.